GAACGCUGGCGGCGUGCCUAAUACAUGCAAGUCGAACGAGUUCUCGUUGAUGAUCGGUGCUUGCACCGAGAUUCAACAUGGAACGAGUGGCGGACGGGUGAGUAACACGUGGGUAACCUGCCCUUAAGUGGGGGAUAACAUUUGGAAACAGAUGCUAAUACCGCAUAGAUCCAAGAACCGCAUGGUUCUUGGCUGAAAGAUGGCGUAAGCUAUCGCUUUUGGAUGGACCCGCGGCGUAUUAGCUAGUUGGUGAGGUAAUGGCUCACCAAGGCGAUGAUACGUAGCCGAACUGAGAGGUUGAUCGGCCACAUUGGGACUGAGACACGGCCCAAACUCCUACGGGAGGCAGCAGUAGGGAAUCUUCCACAAUGGACGCAAGUCUGAUGGAGCAACGCCGCGUGAGUGAAGAAGGCUUUCGGGUCGUAAAACUCUGUUGUUGGAGAAGAAUGGUCGGCAGAGUAACUGUUGUCGGCGUGACGGUAUCCAACCAGAAAGCCACGGCUAACUACGUGCCAGCAGCCGCGGUAAUACGUAGGUGGCAAGCGUUAUCCGGAUUUAUUGGGCGUAAAGCGAGCGCAGGCGGUUUUUUAAGUCUGAUGUGAAAGCCCUCGGCUUAACCGAGGAAGCGCAUCGGAAACUGGGAAACUUGAGUGCAGAAGAGGACAGUGGAACUCCAUGUGUAGCGGUGAAAUGCGUAGAUAUAUGGAAGAACACCAGUGGCGAAGGCGGCUGUCUGGUCUGUAACUGACGCUGAGGCUCGAAAGCAUGGGUAGCGAACAGGAUUAGAUACCCUGGUAGUCCAUGCCGUAAACGAUGAAUGCUAGGUGUUGGAGGGUUUCCGCCCUUCAGUGCCGCAGCUAACGCAUUAAGCAUUCCGCCUGGGGAGUACGACCGCAAGGUUGAAACUCAAAGGAAUUGACGGGGGCCCGCACAAGCGGUGGAGCAUGUGGUUUAAUUCGAAGCAACGCGAAGAACCUUACCAGGUCUUGACAUCUUUUGAUCACCUGAGAGAUCAGGUUUCCCCUUCGGGGGCAAAAUGACAGGUGGUGCAUGGUUGUCGUCAGCUCGUGUCGUGAGAUGUUGGGUUAAGUCCCGCAACGAGCGCAACCCUUAUGACUAGUUGCCAGCAUUUAGUUGGGCACUCUAGUAAGACUGCCGGUGACAAACCGGAGGAAGGUGGGGAUGACGUCAAAUCAUCAUGCCCCUUAUGACCUGGGCUACACACGUGCUACAAUGGAUGGUACAACGAGUUGCGAGACCGCGAGGUCAAGCUAAUCUCUUAAAGCCAUUCUCAGUUCGGACUGUAGGCUGCAACUCGCCUACACGAAGUCGGAAUCGCUAGUAAUCGCGGAUCAGCACGCCGCGGUGAAUACGUUCCCGGGCCUUGUACACACCGCCCGUCACACCAUGAGAGUUUGUAACACCCGAAGCCGGUGGCGUAACCCUUUUAGGGAGCGAGCCGUCUAAGGUGGGACAAAUGAUUAGGGUGAAGUCGUAACAAGGUAGCCGUAGGAGAACCU
Molecule: ribosomal RNA, 1520 nt
Filed under: Lacticaseibacillus paracasei
Lineage: Bacteria; Bacillati; Bacillota; Bacilli; Lactobacillales; Lactobacillaceae
Description: bacterial SSU rRNA
Rfam family: Bacterial small subunit ribosomal RNA
Source: RNAcentral